GUACAUAAUGGGACACUUCACAGUCACGUUUCCUCAGCCCCUUCUGGACAGGUACAUAAUGGGACAGUUCACGUUUCCUCAGCCCCUUCUGGACAGGUACAUAAUGGGACACUUCACGUUUCCUCAGUCCCUUCUGGACAGGUACAUAAUGGGACACUUCACGUUUCCUCAGUCCCUUCUGGACAGGUACAUAAUGGGACAGUUCACGUUUCCUCAGCCCCUUCUGGACAGGUACAUAAUGGGACAGUCCACUUUUCAUCACAUCCCCCAUGGAAAGUUACAGUCCACUUUAACCACCAACACCCCUUGCCUCCAUAACGUACAUGGGACAGUCUCACAUUUCUUCUAGAAUAAGACAUGACAGUCAUCCACUCCAGUUCACCCAAUGGGAUUCCAACAGAAUGACUUAUUCUACUGCACAUGUCUAAAGCACUGCC
Oncorhynchus tshawytscha (Chinook salmon) is the source of this 437-nucleotide long non-coding RNA. NCBI's taxonomy places the organism in Eukaryota, Metazoa, Chordata, Actinopteri, Salmoniformes, Salmonidae. The record is from Ensembl.